UUAAAUUGAAGAGUUUGAUCAUGGCUCAGAUUGAACGCUGGCGGCAGGCCUAACACAUGCAAGUCGAACGGUAACAGGAAGCAGCUUGCUGCUUCGCUGAC
Molecule: ribosomal RNA, 101 nt
Filed under: Escherichia coli
Lineage: Bacteria; Pseudomonadati; Pseudomonadota; Gammaproteobacteria; Enterobacterales; Enterobacteriaceae
Also listed under: 17 other names
Description: partial 16S ribosomal RNA
Rfam family: Bacterial small subunit ribosomal RNA
Source: RNAcentral